GUGCUCACAUUGGCAGCACGUAUACUAAAUUGGAACAACGCAGAGAAGAUUAGCAUGUCCCCUGCAUAAGGAUGACACGCAAAUUCAUGAAGUCUUCUAUAUCUUU
This is a small nuclear RNA of Pongo abelii (Sumatran orangutan), 106 nucleotides long. Lineage: Eukaryota; Metazoa; Chordata; Mammalia; Primates; Hominidae. The record is from Ensembl.